ACUCCUACGGGAGGCAGCAGUGGGGAAUAUUGCACAAUGGGCGCAAGCCUGAUGCAGCCAUGCCGCGUGUAUGAAGAAGGCCUUCGGGUUGAUAAAGUACUUUUCAGGCAGAUGAGAAGGUGGGUAUGUUAAUAGCAUACUCAUUUGACGUUAGCUGCAGAAGAAGCACCGGCUAACUCCGUGCCAGCAGCCGCGGUAAUACGGAGGGUGCGAGCGUUAAUCGGAAUUACUGGGCGUAAAGCGCAUGCAGGUGGUUUGUUAAGUCAGAUGUGAAAGCCCGGGGGCUUCAACCUCGGGAAAUUUGCAUUUUGAAAACUGGGCAAACUAGAGUACUGUAGAGGGGGGGUAGAAUUUUCAGGUGNAGCGGUGAAAAUGCGUAGAGAUCUGAAGGAAUACCGGUGGNGAAGGCGGCCCCCCUGGACAAGAUACUGACACUCAGAUGCG
RNAcentral lists this ribosomal RNA (444 nucleotides) under uncultured bacterium. RNAcentral's name for it is "bacterial SSU rRNA". It matches the Rfam family "Bacterial small subunit ribosomal RNA", at positions 335 to 755 of the family's 1533-position model. The record is from RNAcentral.